AAAAACCCUGAGACGCUAUUGGUUUCACUUCAGGGCUGCUACAAAGGCAAGCUGUAAAAAAGAUGUAUAAAAGACAUUGUCUAUUAUGCUGAAGAAUUUCCAUUGAAAGUCCAAGUUCCAUAUCAGAGAAACAUGGCCACUGAAGGACAAAUAUUAAAGUACAUUUUAGGAUUUAUAAUGGCUGUCCUGCUGGAAGUAUGUGUUGUGGAAAACCUUCAUGUCCCAGGCAACGAGUCACAUCACAUUGAUAAAAGAGAAGCAGUGUCACCAGUACCCACUACAUUAAUGGCUACAAAUGCAGCAGCAGCAACAACAACAACAUCAACUACUGCUACUGCUACUACUACUAAUACUACUACUACUGCUAAUACAAAUACUACUACUACUGCUACAACACCAACAGUUCUUCAAAUGUCAAUGAGAAUAAAUCAAAUAUUUGACACCAGUCUUACUAAUGAAACUGGAACAAAGUACAAAUUUUAUGUCGAUAACAUUGAAUCAGCAAUUGACGAAAGUUACAAGGAUCUGUCUAGCUACAUUAAAGGUUCAGUAAAAGUAACUGGCUUCAGGUCUGGUAGCAUUAUAACAGACUACACGAUUAAAACAGUCAACAACAACAGCAGCAGCAGUGUUGAUUUAUCAUCAGCAAACACACAGGUUUCUAAGAUUCUCUCAAUAGCAGGAAUCCCUGUAGCUCCGGACGCUUUUGAGGAGAGUGUGGAACAAAUAUUGACCAUCAAAGAUAAAUAUUAUCCUCAGCAAAGGAUGGAACUGUGGUGUUCUCAUCUAAAAUCUGUUCAUGGAAAAAUGAAAUGGAGAGUGAAUGACAAAGAUCCUGCAGAAAACAAAGCAAAAUACAGCAUUACAAAUGAUGGUAGUGGAAGCACUCUCAUAGUGAAGGAUGUUAGUGAAAGUGACAGUGGUAGAUACUCGUGUAUCAUACAAAGAAGCACUAUAAACAUACCUUAUGUUCAGUGGCAAAAAAUUGUUAUUGAACCACGUCCCAAUAUCAUAGUGGAUAAAACUGAAAUAAAGUUGCCAUGUACAGAUCAGACUGUCACGUUCAGAUGCUGUGCUGAAGACUACCCAAUUGAGUGGGAUGGGAUUCCUUCUGAUGAUGAAUUGACAAAUUCAGAGCCUGACUGCAUCACAUUAAAGCAUAAAAUCUUGAGCACAAGUUGUGGAUCUAUUGAAACUGUUACAUGUCGACUAAAGAACAUGAACGAAUUAGAAAUGUUUGAGUAUUACAAGAAAAUAAUCCAGGUUCAGACCGUCAGAGAUUUUGACUGUAAAAAUCAAUCACUUGGAGUUGGAAAAAUUGGUGACAUUGUAACAGGUCCCUGUGAAAAAGGCCUGGAAGGCUACAUAACUUAUCAAUGUCAACAGGCAAAUUCUCAAAUUGUUUGGAAACCUACACAGAGAGAAUGUGUAGUUGAAUCUAUCAAAGACCUUGAGAGGAAAGCUAAGUUCUUGUUUGGAGAAGAGAUUCCAGGUUUUAUGUCAAUCCUCAGUAAAGCUGCAGAUCAGAACAAUGUUGAGAUAACACAAUCUGCUCCAACUGUCCAAACUAUAGUUAAGAUACUCUUCAAAAUUGCUAAUAUCGCACAAACUUUUACCAUUAAUAAACCUGUGAUAAAGGAUUUUCUUAAAACCGUGAACUUAAUUGUAAGAGAUGAAUCUAAAAACACAUGGGCAGAAUUACAGAAUGGUCAGAAAACAGAAAACAGAAGCACUGAACUUCUACAAGCUAUUGAGAAAAUAAGUGAUCGUCUCUCAGAUGACAAUUUUAUGAUCAAUGAAGGGUCCGUUCAGUUGAAUAGAACAACAAUUGAAAACUCAUUCAUUGGAACGUCUCUACUAGCAAACUCAACGACUCAGAUUGUGAUACCAAAUGUUGUUAAACCAGCCCUUACAACCAUUAUUGUUUUCACAAAGCUUGGCAAUGUCCUACCAACUCGCUCUACUAUUAAUGACAACAAAACAUCAGAAAACUGCAUUAAUGGAGACGUGGUUGUGGUUAAGGUUAAUAAUACAGUUAACAACAUUUUGCUUACUUUUGACAAGACAAAUGCAUCAUUGGGAAAUCCGCAGUGUGUCUUUUGGAACUUUGAUCUCUUCCGAUGGGAUUCAACUGGAUGUAAAGUCAAGAUCUCAGGAAAUGAAGCGGACAAGGUUACAUGUGAAUGCACUCAUACAACCUCUUUUUCAAUCCUGAUGUCACCGGUUGCAAAUGAAGACCCUGUUAAACAAAGAGACUUAGCCUAUAUAACAUACAUUGGAGUAGGUAUUUCUAUAGCCUGCUUGAUUUUUUGCCUUUUUCUUGAGAUGAGUGCAUGGAGAUUGAUGACAAGAAAUGGCACGUCUUACAUGCGGCAUGUCUCAAUAGUCAACAUUGCUGUGUCUCUCCUAAUUGCUGAUACCUGUUUCAUCAUUGGAGCUGCAAUUGCAGAUGAAGAGCAGAUGAUCUCAGUGGGUCGCUGCAGUCCAGUGGUUUUCUUCAUGCACUUUUUUUAUUUGGCUCUUUUCUUCUGGAUGUUCUUUUCAGCACUUUUGCUUCUUUACCGCAUUGUCAUGGUCUUGGCUCAAAUGUCAAGGACUAAAAUGACGAUCAUUGCCUUCACAGUUGGUUAUGGUGCACCUUUGCUCAUAGCGGUUAUUACUGUCGCAUCCACAGCUGGAGCUGAAAACUAUGUUUCAAAAGAAAAUGCAUGCUGGCUGAACUGGAAUGAAUCUAAGGCCCUGCUGGCAUUUGUGAUUCCAGCUCUGGCUAUCGUUGCCUUUGUGUUUGUGGUCUUGUGUAAGAUGUUAAGGAGAAGGGUUGGUGCUACAGCUCAACCAGAUGAAAGGGAUGUUCUUGUGGUCAUUGUCCGAUGUGUGGCCAUUCUCACUCCUAUCUUUUGCCUGACAUGGGGAUUUGGGAUUGGAACCAUGGUGUCACGUGACUUUGGCAUUCGUGUGGUUUUCGCCGCAUUUAAUUCACUGCAGGGAUUCUUUGUUUUGGUGUUUGGGACACUUUCUGACAGCAAGGUGCGAGAGUCACUGUCAGGAAAGCUGAUACUGUAUAACUUUGGUUCCGGUCGUACCAGGAGAACUAAUCCACAGACAUCAUCCACAAGUGUCUUACAAAGGAUUAAUGUGGACAAUAUAUCUGGAACCCGAAGUUUCUCAACAGCUUCAUCUUCUAACAGCUUCAGUUAAAUAAUUACAGGUGGCGGUUGUUGCCUAAUGGUUAGAGAGCAGCACUUGUAAACUGAAGGUUUCAGGUUUAAUUCUCAAUGUUGGCAGGAACAACUGAUGUGACCGAGUAGGCUAUGAGUGACCAUAUUUGACCAUCACAUCGAUUCACCUUACUGCAGGAAACAUUCAUUAAUGCUAUGCAAGUGUGAUUUAUAUUGUCUUCAACCAUAGCAAAAAUAUUGCAAUAUUGGAAUUUAGGGUAGAAUUAGCAAAAAACUACAUUAAAGGCUUUGUAAACUAGACGUUUAAUGCCAACAUUCAAAUCACAUUUAAGUUGAAAUUUGAAGCCUCCAAUUGUUAAGACCAUAGUGACAAGUCGUCACUGACAACCUCGUUCAAGUUUAAGUGAGCUUUCGUGUCAUGGUGCUAUAUGUGGAGACAAAGAAGGGAACAAAAUGUUGUGACGCAAUGUUAAACUUUAUAUGUUAAUGUUAUAUGUUAUACAUUUAACAUGUAUGAACUUGCAAAUAUCUAAUCAGAUGUAUAGUUAAAAUAAAAUACAUUUUUUACUUAAUCUAUAUAUAUUAACUGGGUUUUCUGAAUAUGUGACCUCAAUGCACAUAUACUGAAUAUGCAUUGAAUACCGUUAACUUUAUGUGCAAGUUUGCAUUAAUAAAAAAAAAAAAUGUUUUGUUUUCUUGAAAUUCUGUUGAAGUCUGUUGUUUAAAAGGACUAACCACAUCCUGGUUUUACUUUAAUAUGCUUGGAUUAUCAAAAUAAAUACAGGUGAUAGCUGUCAUGAACGUGGGUGGUGAGGACAAGGACAGAGGACCCAGGUGCAGACAGCGGAAACCCAACAGAGGACCCUUAGAGGUCUAAGCAUGGUAGUGUAACACUACACACAGGACGGAAGGACGAUGCCACAACAAGACUCUGUGAUGUAUGAAGGUUUAAUAUAAAUCCAAGGCAAAAAAAGGUAAAUUCCAAAGGGUUGGUGAUCCACAAAAACAAACAGGUAAUAUCCACAAGGUGACUAUAUUAGAAUAAACAAGAAAGCCACGGGAGAACAGAAUGCAAUUUAUCCGCUCAACCAAUCACAGCACACCAUUCCACGCAUUGUAAACAGUAAUGGCGGCACUCUGAACGGUCGGCAUCCUAGUUUCCCUGAUCUACUUUGUACUUUGUGUUCAACAAGCAAACAAAAAAAAGGAAUAAUUUUGACAGCAUUGAUGAAGCUAUGCUGGUGGUCGGGAAGAAACGUAAGCCAUCGAAAUCUAAUCAUUUACGUGAGGAGAUUAAGAAGACGAGGCACUAAUUUAUAGCAUUAAAAAGAUGAUCCGUUGAAUUCAUUUUAGGAGCGAUGACUGAUUAAAUGUAUUUUUAGUCCAGUGCCUGUAUGUAAGAUUCGUAUUGUUUUGAGUUCAGAGGCUGUCAUAUGUGGAUCAACUCACUUUGUUGUGUAUUUUCAACAGUUUCAAUAUGAAAAAUAACUUUUAUAUUGAUUCAAUGGAUUUAUUGCAUUUUGAAAAAAAUUGUCAUGGAUUUAUUGCGUUUUGGGGAAAGAAUGGUCAGUUUUUAUAAUAAAUCUUUUAAAAUCAAAAUCUUGAUUUGAAUUUUUUAUGUUACUAGAACCUAAAUAUGCUAUGUAAAACUUUGAAACAGAAAAUAGGGGUUUUCAUCUUGCCACUUUCUUUGCAAAUUUUUACUCAAAUUAAUCAAAAUGGAUUUAUAGCGUUUUGGAACCAAACUCUUCAAAUACAUUUGGCAGUAAUUGCAAAAUAAAUAAUGCAACAAACAUUUUAUUUGUUAAUAUAUCCAGGGAGUAGAUGAGCCUUUCCUUAAAUGGAAAGUCUUCACAGACAGUCACACUCAUUAAACCUCUUACAGGUAUAAAAAGGAGACCAGCAAAGGCAUAAACAUGAAAAUAGCCAUUGCAUCCUUUUAAUUUUAUACCAGUGAUGAUAGUAAAAAUAGUCAAAACUAAAUGUCACCAGUACAGCAACAGUUACUUAAAAAGUCAAGUUAGUGUAGUAAGUAACCAAAACUGUCAAGCACAUGUAGCAAUAGUCAAACAUGAAAUAUUUGUGACGUAGUGAAGUUGAAAUAUGUUCCAUGGGUAUCUGUUUCACUUGUUUGUCUGGUCUCUUAUCUUUGUUUUAUUAUCAAUGUAUGAAUUUAUGAUAUAAAACUGUCCAUAUUAUAUCAAGUGCCUCAAGUGCUUUACGUCAUAUUAAUAUCUGCUUUAAAAAUUUGUGAAAAUUUGUGGCCUUGUAUGUGAUAGCACUUUGGCACUUGACAAUGUGUUGACAACUAAUUUCAGACAAUAUUCAAUUAUAAUAGUCAAUUCAAUUCUAUCUUACAGGCUAAUCAUCAAACCACCCCAUCAGCUCCAGCAACUCCACCAGUCCAACGACCCCACUGAGAAACUGCAUCACUCGACUUAGAUUUAUAUGUUCUAACUGCAGUUAACUAUACUAACAAUAAACCAUUAGAUACAUUGAUUAAUUUAAACUGUGCCACACAACUUAUACCUCUGACACAUUGUUCUCUCUCCUUGACAGGAGCUGAUAGAAAAUAGUAGUCAUGCGGUCUCAAGUUUCAGUUGUGGUUGGCUUGGCACGUUGUUCUGUGAUGUCAGAGAGGGAUUACAGACAAAAUACGUCUGUUUUUAGAAACACCGGAGUUGUUUUCACACGUGAAAAGAGACGACAAUCAGAAAUUACAUACUUAUUGGCAUAGUUGUGUUGCAUUUCGUAUUUUAUUGUAAUUGCUUGUGCCGUAGCUUAAUAUCCGCUGUAUUAUCCAAGCAGGACGUUGAUGUUUGUGGCUACCUUGGUUUUUUCUCUAAAUGAUAAUGAUUUAGGGCUUUCACAUAUCAGAUGUUCACUGCAUGAUGGUGGCCAAAGGAAUUCACAAUAACUGUAUUAUCACUAAAUCUUUUGAAAAGACUUUUAACAAGAAAUAAAAGGUGC
RNA transcript from Triplophysa rosa, 6149 nucleotides. It is a transcript of the gene named adhesion G-protein coupled receptor F1-like, with no coding region annotated. The transcript has 20 exons. NCBI's taxonomy places the organism in Eukaryota, Metazoa, Chordata, Actinopteri, Cypriniformes, Nemacheilidae. The record is from RefSeq and is a predicted model, not a curated record.